AGUGGGACAACAAGGAAGGGAAAAAAGCAGCCUUUGCUGUUGUGACACCACAUUUUACUGUCAAAUUUAUCUUCAAAUUUCGUUUCAAAUCGCGAAUAAGCGUUAGCUAAGUGAAGUUAUUGUUCUUUUAUGAAAGUGUAGCCUUCAUUCCUCCGAUUCCGUUGGCAUCGCUUUGUAACCCAGAAACGUUACAAUGGCGAACAACAACAUCGCUUUUAAAACACAGAUCGCUUCCAUCAUGGAGGUGUUGGCCAACGCGGCAGUAGCAGAAAUUUGCAAGCUUAUCGACGACGAUUAUGCGGUUCUUCGUCUCGAAAUUUCGCACAGUCAGAAUGAAAAUAGGACAUUGAAGAGAAAAUUGCAAAUGAUGGAGCUUAAAAUGGCCAGAGAACGCGCGGAAAGAACAAUACGAGAGCGCGCACCAAGCGCUCGCAGUGGAGGAAGAACCUCCGUCAUGGAGAGAAACCGAGGAUGGAGAGGAGGUGGUCUUUUCCCAACCAGAGACAGAUUUCUUGCCACUCAAGGGGAAAGUUCUUGGAGAAACAGAAGAUGUUUCACAGAUGAUCAACCAUCAAAGCGGACUAGUGAAACGGUAGAGCCCACAGUUAUUGAGCUAGAAGACCCAGAGGUGCAAAUUAAGCAGGAGAUCCCAGAGGCUGUCCUACAUGGACCUGAAGGCACGUCCUGGAAAAGAAUAGUGGGCCCCGCCUGUGAUGGAAUGGUCUCGCACACUGUAACUGCUGACCCCCUGGCUUCGUCGGCUGAGCAACCUGGGAGCAGGCAGACUGUUGUGGAGGCAAUGAAAACAGAUCUUGACCAACCAUUGACUGAGAUGGGGGAACACGAGGAGAGGCGAAUAGAGGCAUCCACAUCUUUUAGCCUCGCCGGUUUCAAAGAGUCCGAACUCACAAUUAACAGUGCAAUGUUUCCUUCAAGCUGCAUAGAAGAGCACAAUGUGCUUCCACCAAUGGAACACAGUUCUUUUAGUCGUGUGGUUAAAAUGGAAUCUGAAGAGGCCAACUCUCGACCAAGUACCUCUGCGGACCAGUGGUCAGGGACAGUUGGUGUGGAGUGGAACGCUUGUUUGGCAUCUGAACGGACUGACGAUCGUGGAAGCACAAGUGACACUUUGGAGGUCAGUGGAUCAGACAGCACUCACAGAUUGCAGACUGAGAGGCUGUCUUGUGCAAUUAAUGAACUUAGAGCAGACAAAAUGACUUGGGAGAUGAGGACAUCCGGUGUACAAUGGGAGAUAAACUCUGAAGGUCAGCCAGAGAGUCUUGCACCACAAUUGGUUUCUAUUUUAAGACCAUCAGAUGGGUACAGCUUGCCGUCUUUGGGAAGUGAGAAGUGUGAGACUGAUGUGCUGGUUAAACGAACCAGUGACCAUGGGCAAGUUGCACCUGUAUUGCCCCAGGUAAACAAAGAUGAGUUUUUAGCGGAAAUGCCAAGCGUUGGUAGCUUUGUGAGCCCUAGAAAAGACACACGCAAGGCCAAAAGGAAGAAUGCGACAAAGAAACUUUUCCCCUGUUUGCUUUGUGGUCGAACAUUCAAGUGUCCUAAGCAGGUGGAGAUCCACCAUCGAGUGCACACGGGCGAGAAGCCCUUUCGUUGUUCUCUUUGCCCUGCCAGUUUCUCGGUCGCAGGCAACUUAAAACGGCACCAAAGGGUUCACACAGGGGAGAAGCCAUUCAGUUGUCCUCAGUGUAACAGACGCUUCUCUCUGCGACACCAGCUUCAGAAACAUCUGAGGUGUCAUUCAGGGGAGAAGCCAUUCAGUUGUUUCCGCUGUGGCAAGAGAUUUGCAGAGAAGAGCUAUGUGCGACUUCACCUUCAGAGGUCCCAUUCUGUUUCCAUCAAUUAGUCACUUGAUAAAUGGUCUGCGUAAAAGUGCUUUUACAAAGUACAUUUACUUGACAUUUUCUUCAUAGCAGCAGUAAUGGGCAAUUUUGAAGAGCUUAAUUCAAUGUCAGCCCUUUUUAGAUUGUUACUUUUGUUUGGCCUUGAGUGGGUGGAGUUUGUACCUCCCUAUCUAAAUAUUGAAGUCCUUGAGCAUAUCAGUGGUGUAUUACUUUUCUUCAUGACUUGUGGGUGUGCUGUGGGUGACCCACUUGAAUUUUUUCUCAAAUUUGUCUGUAUUUUUUUCUUUUAUUCUGCAUAAUGUGUAUAUUUGUCGGACAAUUCUGAAUAAAUGAAAACAAAAUAACGCUAGGAGCAUACAAAAACAAAUGUGCAGGGUGCAAGCCUUGUGAACCAUGAAUGGGAUCAUGAUUUGUUUUUUUGUUUUUUUUAAUAGUAUAAAUGAUAACCAAUACAAAUUGGUGGUGGUGACCCUGACACAGUGUGAUUUUGACAAUUUGGUUGUCUCAUUCCAGUUGGUGACUUGUGAAACUGACAAUAAAUUCACUCAUUCGUGAUCCUGGUGUCAUCUCUAAAGUGAAUUAUAAUGCCUCUGGUUAUUUAAGUUGUAUUGGGAUGGCAAGCCAUUAGUCUGUACUUUGUUAUGGUAGCUCUGAUCUGCUCUGGAGAGCUUUAAUACUGCACCAUUUAAUAAUUUAUUAGGUUUCAGAUAUACUUUAGCAGAAAUGUUUUUGCAAAAAGUAGACUUGUAGCCUGGUUAAAACCAGACUCAUUCACUUUGUAAAAUAGCCUUGGGACUCAUGAUUGGGAAACGUUUUCAACUCUAGCAUGGUGAUGGGUGUAGAUUUUGCGUCAACUCUGAAAUCAUUGGUCCAGCCUAACCAAUCAAAUUUGGGGAUUUUGGCUUACUAUACUUUGCCUAACUUUACAAACUGACAAUAAAAAGCAUUAACAGUCAGGGAACAAUGUAUGCAGGCCUACCUUUGCCAUAUAUUAAUUUACACUGUAAUUUAUGAUGUUCGCAGGAAUUGCUACUACUGUUUACCACAGCCACUUUCGAUUUUGAAACUAUAGCAUCAUCCCCUCUCGUCACUGAUUGGUCCUACUUUUCUGGGGUCUGAUGGAAACGUUAGUGAAUUAUGGUGUUCCAGACUAGUACUGUAUCUCCCUGAAAGGAGAUGUAGGUGGCCAGGCUAAUAGACUUGUUUAUUGUGUUAUUUUCUGUAGGUCUAUAUUUUUUCCACUUCUUCAGAAAUGCUUAGUCUAUCUAAUUAGCAAUCGAUCUUUGCUGUAACAUACUAUCUCUGGUAAUCUAAUCAGAUAUGAUUCACUGAAGCAUGAAAUAAACAAAACUAUUAUCAGUGGUUCUCCCAUAGUUUUAUUUCCAGGGAACAAACGUACUAAUGAAAAUGUCCAUCUUUUCUGCAAGGUUUGAUUGGCACAGACUGUGCGGAUGACCCAGUUUAUGUCACCUCUGCUUUCAGACUAUAUAACCAUUUAUACUUUAUUGUUAUCUUGUAUUUUUAUUAAUUACAUUUAAUUAAAUUUCACUCAUGCUUUCUGAGUAACCUUUCCGGCAACCUUUACUUUCAAAAGGGACAUUUUUUGACCAAAAAAACCCCCAAAAAACUUUUAUAUAACAAUAUUUAAGCCCUUUAAAUACAAGCAGUCUUUAGCCUAUUGGUUUGAAUUAGCUUAUCAACAUUACCUGAAUCAAGGGUUAGCAAAUACGUUUUAUUUUUUUAAUUGAAUAACCGGCCAUAACAGUUGAAUGUUAUGUCUUUUAAGUUGAUUCCAAGCGGUUCUUAUUCCCGUUUCCCUUUUACAUGGUCAAACUGUUGCUCCACAUUAUAAUAGUAGCAAUCGUAAUAAUGAUCAUAACAUUACAAUUAUUAUACGGAUAUUGCUGCUGGCUAUGUAGGCUAAGCAUUCCUUGACAGUUUUGCUCAGUGUCCAAAUGCAAUGUUCCAUAGCGAUUUCGUUAUUUCCCUGAGGAUCACACAAAACUACAAGCCCGAUUUUCAUGAAAGCUGGCGGAAUGUAGCGAGGGAAAAUUUCUGAAUCGCCGGGCUGCCUGGCCCGGGCAACUUUAACUACUACAAUGUUGCAUGGCAUGGUAGGCUAUUUGUUCUGUAUAGAUAUCUGCGCUCUCAGAAUGAUCUACUUUCGAGAUGUCUUCAACAUUACAUUUUGCGUGUCCUCUUGCUGCAGAUCAGACAUCCCGCUGACGAUUCAGUCGCAGUGGCAAACAUCCGUUAAUUGAUUAGGCUAUUAAAUUGAUCUGUUUUAGCCUUCACGACUUUUAGGGAGUUUGACACCAUUGCUUGUUUUUCCACUUCAGCCACGAGUUAAAGGGACGCGAGGAUGUGUCAGCCUAUGACUCAUUAAAAUAAACACAUUUACACAUUUUACAUGCGUAGGCUAGGCCUACAGCUACAUAUUUCCACAAGUUUUUAACGUAAGGAUGUAUUAGCUUAACACUGGUGACAAAUAUGUUUUUAAAGAAAUUGUAAAAAAUAUUUAAUUAAUUUAUAUUUUUAAACAAAGCCAGGGAGCCAACAGAGAGUGGCUAAAGGCAGCUCGCGGGUUGCCGACCCCUGUACUGUAUGGCAUUGGUUGCUAGGGAAAGAAAACUUAUGCUAACCUUUAGCUUACAAUGCAUGAAAGUUUGCUCAAAUUGUUGGAAAUUAAAAAAUAUUAAGUCAGGUGUUGCUGGAACCUGCUUAAAUUAAGACCUAUUUUUUUCCUCCCGAACAUUAAUCAUUUGAAAUAGAUAUGAUCUCACAUUGUGUCAACCUCACAUUGGGCCAAUCACAUUUGCACACCACGUCCGAAACUUUUGUCCGUCAAAAAAGAGGUAUGCAUCUGUAUAGCACACGGCUUGGAAUAUUUCCUUCUGACCAAAACCAAGAAGUUCAACAGACGCUGGAAAGCACAUGGAGCUGGCAGUCUUUUCCAGGAACAUCUGGGAAAGAGAGGACGAGAAGGUACAGAGAGAAGCUCAAUGCAGAC
RNA transcript from Alosa alosa (allis shad), 4872 nucleotides. It is a transcript of the gene named zinc finger protein 263-like, with no coding region annotated. The transcript is spliced from 9 exons. The record is from RefSeq and is a predicted model, not a curated record. Lineage: Eukaryota; Metazoa; Chordata; Actinopteri; Clupeiformes; Clupeidae.